This 3687-nucleotide long non-coding RNA is filed under the name Monodelphis domestica (gray short-tailed opossum). RNAcentral's name for it is "lncRNA (ENSMODG00000044540.1)". The record is from RNAcentral. Lineage: Eukaryota; Metazoa; Chordata; Mammalia; Didelphimorphia; Didelphidae.
AUGUCCCCUUCCAGCUUGACGCCCUCCACCUCCAGGUCGGGGCUCUUGAUGUCGACCUUGCCCUUGGGCAGGGACACGUCCACACUGGGCAUGGUGACGUCCACUUUGGGGCCUUUGAUGUCUGCUUUGGGCAAUUGGGGCAUUUUGAUGCUGGGCAUGUGGACCUUGGGCAAAUGGCCUUUGAUGCCGGCACUGCCUGCCUUCCCUUUCAGGUCGCCAAGCUCGGCUUCGGCCUCGGGCACGUGGGCCUCAAUGGCCACCCCUUUGACGUCCACCUCCACUGAGGGCAGCUCCACACUCAGGUCGCCAGCCUUGACCUCGCCCUUUACGGAGGGAAGGGCCACGUCCACGUCGGCCUUGGGCAGGCUCACGUCCACAGAGGCUGACCCUUCCUUGCUGGGAACAGAAACGCCAAAGGAUGGCAUCUUAAAUUUGGGCAUCUUGAACUUGCUGUCCUUGCCCUCCGCGUCCUUGUCACCCAGCUUGAUGUCCCCUUCCAGCUUGACGCCCUCCACCUCCAGGUCGGGGCUCUUGAUGUCGACCUUGCCCUUGGGCAGGGACACGUCCACACUGGGCAUGGUGAGGUCCACUUUGGGGCCUUUGAUGUCUGCUUUGGGCAAUUGGGGCAUUUUGAUGCUGGGCAUGUGGACCUUGGGCAAAUGGCCUUUGAUGCCGGCACUGCCUGCCUUCCCUUUCAGGUCGCCAAGCUCGGCUUCGGCCUCGGGCACGUGGGCCUCAAUGGCCACCCCUUUGACGUCCACCUCCACUGAGGGCAGCUCCACACUCAGGUCGCCAGCCUUGACCUCGCCCUUUACGGAGGGAAGGGCCACGUCCACGUCGGCCUUGGGCAGGCUCACGUCCACAGAGGCUGACCCUUCCUUGCUGGGAACAGAAACGCCAAAGGAUGGCAUCUUAAAUUUGGGCAUCUUGAACUUGCUGUCCUUGCCCUCCGCGUCCUUGUCACCCAGCUUGAUGUCCCCUUCCAGCUUGACGCCCUCCACCUCCAGGUCGGGGCUCUUGAUGUCGACCUUGCCCUUGGGCAGGGACACGUCCACACUGGGCAUGGUGACGUCCACUUUGGGGCCUUUGAUGUCUGCUUUGGGCAAUUGGGGCAUUUUGAUGCUGGGCAUGUGGACCUUGGGCAAAUGGCCUUUGAUGCCGGCACUGCCUGCCUUCCCUUUCAGGUCGCCAAGCUCGGCUUCGGCCUCGGGCACGUGGGCCUCAAUGGCCACCCCUUUGACGUCCACCUCCACUGAGGGCAGCUCCACACUCAGGUCGCCAGCCUUGACCUCGCCCUUUACGGAGGGAAGGGCCACGUCCACGUCGGCCUUGGGCAGGCUCACGUCCACAGAGGCUGACCCUUCCUUGCUGGGAACAGAAACGCCAAAGGAUGGCAUCUUAAAUUUGGGCAUCUUGAACUUGCUGUCCUUGCCCUCCGCGUCCUUGUCACCCAGCUUGAUGUCCCCUUCCAGCUUGACGCCCUCCACCUCCAGGUCGGGGCUCUUGAUGUCGACCUUGCCCUUGGGCAGGGACACGUCCACACUGGGCAUGGUGACGUCCACUUUGGGGCCUUUGAUGUCUGCUUUGGGCAAUUGGGGCAUUUUGAUGCUGGGCAUGUGGACCUUGGGCAAAUGGCCUUUGAUGCCGGCACUGCCUGCCUUCCCUUUCAGGUCGCCAAGCUCGGCUUCGGCCUCGGGCACGUGGGCCUCAAUGGCCACCCCUUUGACGUCCACCUCCACUGAGGGCAGCUCCACACUCAGGUCGCCAGCCUUGACCUCGCCCUUUACGGAGGGAAGGGCCACGUCCACGUCGGCCUUGGGCAGGCUCACGUCCACAGAGGCUGACCCUUCCUUGCUGGGAACAGAAACGCCAAAGGAUGGCAUCUUAAAUUUGGGCAUCUUGAACUUGCUGUCCUUGCCCUCCGCGUCCUUGUCACCCAGCUUGAUGUCCCCUUCCAGCUUGACGCCCUCCACCUCCAGGUCGGGGCUCUUGAUGUCGACCUUGCCCUUGGGCAGGGACACGUCCACACUGGGCAUGGUGAGGUCCACUUUGGGGCCUUUGAUGUCUGCUUUGGGCAAUUGGGGCAUUUUGAUGCUGGGCAUGUGGACCUUGGGCAAAUGGCCUUUGAUGCCGGCACUGCCUGCCUUCCCUUUCAGGUCGCCAAGCUCGGCUUCGGCCUCGGGCACGUGGGCCUCAAUGGCCACCCCUUUGACGUCCACCUCCACUGAGGGCAGCUCCACACUCAGGUCGCCAGCCUUGACCUCGCCCUUUACGGAGGGAAGGGCCACGUCCACGUCGGCCUUGGGCAGGCUCACGUCCACAGAGGCUGACCCUUCCUUGCUGGGAACAGAAACGCCAAAGGAUGGCAUCUUAAAUUUGGGCAUCUUGAACUUGCUGUCCUUGCCCUCCGCGUCCUUGUCACCCAGCUUGAUGUCCCCUUCCAGCUUGACGCCCUCCACCUCCAGGUCGGGGCUCUUGAUGUCGACCUUGCCCUUGGGCAGGGACACGUCCACACUGGGCAUGGUGAGGUCCACUUUGGGGCCUUUGAUGUCUGCUUUGGGCAAUUGGGGCAUUUUGAUGCUGGGCAUGUGGACCUUGGGCAAAUGGCCUUUGAUGCCGGCACUGCCUGCCUUCCCUUUCAGGUCGCCAAGCUCGGCUUCGGCCUCGGGCACGUGGGCCUCAAUGGCCACCCCUUUGACGUCCACCUCCACUGAGGGCAGCUCCACACUCAGGUCGCCAGCCUUGACCUCGCCCUUUACGGAGGGAAGGGCCACGUCCACGUCGGCCUUGGGCAGGCUCACGUCCACAGAGGCUGACCCUUCCUUGCUGGGAACAGAAACGCCAAAGGAUGGCAUCUUAAAUUUGGGCAUCUUGAACUUGCUGUCCUUGCCCUCCGCGUCCUUGUCACCCAGCUUGAUGUCCCCUUCCAGCUUGACGCCCUCCACCUCCAGGUCGGGGCUCUUGAUGUCGACCUUGCCCUUGGGCAGGGACACGUCCACACUGGGCAUGGUGACGUCCACUUUGGGGCCUUUGAUGUCUGCUUUGGGCAAUUGGGGCAUUUUGAUGCUGGGCAUGUGGACCUUGGGCAAAUGGCCUUUGAUGCCGGCACUGCCUGCCUUCCCUUUCAGGUCGCCAAGCUCGGCUUCGGCCUCGGGCACGUGGGCCUCAAUGGCCACCCCUUUGACGUCCACCUCCACUGAGGGCAGCUCCACACUCAGGUCGCCAGCCUUGACCUCGCCCUUUACGGAGGGAAGGGCCACGUCCACGUCGGCCUUGGGCAGGCUCACGUCCACAGAGGCUGACCCUUCCUUGCUGGGAACAGAAACGCCCAAAGGAUGGCAUCUUAAAUUUGGGCAUCUUGAACUUGCUGUCCUUGCCCUCCGCGUCCUUGUCACCCAGCUUGAUGUCCCCUUCCAGCUUGACGCCCUCCACCUCCAGGUCGGGGCUCUUGAUGUCGACCUUGCCCUUGGGCAGGGACACGUCCACACUGGGCAUGGUGACGUCCACUUUGGGGCCUUUGAUGUCUGCUUUGGGCAAUUGGGGCAUUUUGAUGCUGGGCAUGUGGACCUUGGGCAAAUGGCCUUUGAUGCCGGCACUGCCUGCCUUCCCUUUCAGGUCGCCAAGCUCGGCUUCGGCCUCGGGCACGUGGGCCUCAAUGGCCACCCCUUUGACGUCCACCUCCACUGA